Long non-coding RNA from Numida meleagris (helmeted guineafowl), 3281 nucleotides. RefSeq lists it as uncharacterized. The record is from RefSeq and is a predicted model, not a curated record. Lineage: Eukaryota; Metazoa; Chordata; Aves; Galliformes; Numididae. The transcript has 3 exons.
GAGGAACGGGCCCACCGAUCGGGGCGCGGCUGCUCGCUGUGCCGGCGCCGUGGGCCGUGCCCGGAGAGGAGGUCCCGCGUCGGGAAUGCCCCGCACCCGCCGCUCCCCGCACCGCCAGGCCGCGCCCCGCGGGGAGGCAGGCCGGGCUGAGCGCCUCGCUGUGGUCGUCCUUGUUAACCCCCGCGGAUGGAGGCGUUGUAGCGGCCUCUCCCAGCGAUAUACCGCCUCUUGGGAAGGAAUGUUUUCUGGAUAUCCAACGUAACUGUUCCAAGCUGCAGGAUAGGGCCUUUGUCUCUAGUUAUAUGCCCCAUUCAGGGAGGAGAGUUUCUUUGUUGUCUUUGUGUGUGGCCUCCGAGUGGUUUUAGACCACCAUUAAUUCAGCCCUCAGCCUCCCCUUUGCCAGACUAGAUGAAAUAACAUUCCUUCAAACAUCCUGCUAGCCCCUGUGCCCCUGAGCCAGCCCACUUGAAUGUGUGAUGCCUUAUGUGUGAUGCCGUUUCAUUAUGGGACAGAGCGAGCACUGACAGCAGCCAGUGGCUCAGGGUUAAUCUCAGCGCAGACACGUGUGCUGCUGUCUGUGUCCUCAGCGUCAGCCGGGAGGUGCACAGCAAAGAGCUGACGAGGGAGCUGCAGACCGGGAAAGACCUGUGACGAUCACUCCAUGGAUACGCUGCAGAGAGUUGUGGAGUGCCUGUGGAGGGAGGGUCCUGUGUGCGCAUGUACGUGCCCAUGGAUCACACGAGCGAGAUGCAGCAGAUGAGCUCCCUUACUCUAUUUGUAACCUCCCACCACUCUUGAACAGACUUGGCAAGGAGGGGAGGGAGAUGAAAACUGAGCUGAAAAUUGAAACAAGGCUCAGAUGCUUGUAGGGAUUUAGAAGCCUGAUUCAACCCAUCACUCCCAAGGGAAGCAGGAGCACAUGUGCCUCCUGAUCCCUGUGUUUUGCUGUCAAGCUCAGCACAGAUCCGCCUUGGCACAAAGUCAUUUGCAUUAACUCAUUGGGAAAAGGAGACGUAAGAACACAGUUAAACCACAAAGUAUGGGAUUACAGUCUGAUAUGAAGAAAGAAAAGAAAGAUAGAGGGGAAGGAAAAACAACUCAGUUGUUAUUUUUUAAUUUAUAUCCUUUGAACUGGCUGCAGGAGUGCUUGGUGAGGACAGUGGCUGUGUCAUACCCCUGUGGUAGGCUCCAGCCUCUCUUGAUGAGCAUCACAGAAGGGAGGUAUUGCAUUCAAGACCUUGCUACCAAACACCUAUUGCUGCCAGAGAGCUGAUCCCAGGGGACACAUGUGGGUACAUGAUGAGAAACCAGUGUGCAGGAACCCUGGGCUCCACUGGAACCUGUCAAGCAGCAGUGCAGCCAGCAGUUCAUAGGGACCAAGGGAUGUGCGACCGUUUGGAGUCAUCCCCUGGCAUGAGUAAAAAUCCCAAGGUGAUCCUUAGUGACAAAGCAGACUAAAAGAGAGUCAUGCAAGGGCAACAGAUAAUUAAGCCAGGGCAAAUGUUUGCAGCAGCUGUCUUGGGACAGAGCCUUCAUGCCACACCCAUUUCCCUGACUUGGCGUCAGCCAAAUGCUGCACAGGCUCUUCCCUCUGUGCGGUCGCAGCCCGUGUCCCAUCCUGGCCUGUGGUUUUCUUGUUUUGAUUCAGCACUCACUGCCGUGAGUAUUGUUCUCAAAGGUACAGGAUCUUCCUAGGAGAAUGCAUGCCGAUGGGGAGUCACAAUGGGAACACGCAGGUCCCAUCUCCAGAGCCACCUGCUCCUUAUGUGCAGCAUGUGCACAGCACAGCCCUCUCCUAAUCCCAGCCCUUCAUGGCCCCCAGCCCUCCUUUCAAAGGGCAAGAUGAGUACUAAGUCUCCACCACCACUUUGGUCCUUCUGGCUUUCUGCCAAAACUGCUAAUUAAAAAGCCAGCGUCAUCAGUGAUUUUUCUGAUGUGAAAACUUUUCCAUAAGGAACUGGUCCCAAAUCCACCAACUCAUUUCACAUUUAUUUUAAAUCUGAGCUUUAACAUCAUGUAAUUUCCUCCAGGGCUUGAUUAUCUUCUCAGUAAAAACACUGUUGUUCUGGUUUGUGAGACCUAUAUUUAAUCUUGCCGUAAGGCCUCUGUACCUCCCAGUACAGAGUUUAGUUGCUGCCACAACUCCUGGCUUUGCCUUCUUAUUUAUGUGAAUCCAUUAAACAAGGCAUCAAUUCUGCAAUAUUGAGGGUGUUCUCCAGCCAUGAGGUGCCUAUAAGCAUUAACUUCUUGUUGCAGAAAUGGUCUCCUGAACCUCAGAAGUCAUCCAGAAAUGGUAGCAGACAAUGUAUAAACAGGGAAUCGGAGGCACAGCCAGACAGGAUCCUUCUCUGUCUCUCUUAUUCUGGUGGCACCUCAAGUCUUUCUCUGUAUUUCCCCUACAUGUAACAAGGUAUCUACAAUUCGGUGUAUUUUUACAUUGAAAUACACAUAACAGGCAAAAGUGGGAGGGGGAAACCUUUUUGCUGAACCUGCUUACAGCCCUCUGCUCUCAGCCAGAGGCUCUGAGCUGCCCAGUUCACCUCUCUGACAUGUGCAUUUUGCAAUGCAGAAAGCUCUUGUUUGAAUGCAAAUGCUUCCACCAGCCUUCCAGUGGAGGGAAUAACAUACAUGCCUCAGUUUCCAACUCCAUCACGUCAUGGCCAUGCUUUAACUGCUGCAUUUUUAAUGAUGAUUUGGAGAUUUUUCUCUUAAUUGUUUGUCUUCAUAAUAAUUCUUUAUGUUUCUUUCAAAUACAGGCUGACCUGCCCAGAAGAUGCAUGUAGGAACACAUAACUGGUGUGAAGGGAACCUCAGGCACAGAUCCCCCACCUUCAAAAGCAUCAGGCACGGAGGGCUCUGCGCAUCAGGGAAGCCCAUGCCAGCUGCAGCAGCCCCCAGAUGAGUGCAUCUUUGGCGACACUGGGCCGGGGGGCUGCGAAUGCCCGGGGGCUCGGGUGGGGCUCACUCCACGUGAGAUCGAACUGUGUCCCCGGGGAUCCCCCGGCCCUGCAGGAGCAGAGAGAGGGCUACAGAGGAGGGAUCCCCUCUUCUGCAGAGGGCAUCCCCGGGGGACUCUGUGGCAUCUCCUCCCCGAGGGCAGGGAAUCGAGGUGGGGUCCCGCCACCUGGCGCCCCCUGAGCUGCGGUGCUCACCAGCGAGCGGGGAGCGGCCGUGAGAGCAUCCCGGAGGAGGGUGCAGAAUGCGGGAGCAGCCGGGGCGGGGAACUGCAGGGGCAUCCCGGGGAGGGGUAGGGGGGAGCCGUAAGGACAUCCAGAAGGAGA